Molecule: transfer RNA, 73 nt
Filed under: Candidatus Melainabacteria bacterium
Lineage: Bacteria; Bacillati; Candidatus Melainabacteria
Description: tRNA-Trp
Rfam family: tRNA
About the family: Transfer RNA (tRNA) molecules are approximately 80 nucleotides in length.
Source: RNAcentral
GCGCCCUUAGUUCAGUUGGUAGAACGUUGGUCUCCAAAACCAAAUGUCGUGGGUUCAAGUCCUACAGGGCGCG